CUUUUUUGGAAAAUUGGGCAUUGUAAACAUCACAAACAGGAGGUUUAAGAUCUUCAAUGAUCUGUAAAGCUUGCAAAAUUUCCUCCUGUCUAAUUGGACAUAUCAAUUGCAAUUGUUGAGUUCUAUUCAGUAUAGGACCCACAACCAUCACAGAAUGGUGUAUAUAUGGUAUUUCAUCAGCCCUGGUACCAAGUAGAGUCUUAUAAAAUCCAAUGACAACUUCAGUAUAAUUGUAGCAAUGCUCCAGUACCUGAUACUAGGGCUUGUAAUGUAAUUUUGGCUUACCCUUUGAUUCAUAGAAGCAAAAGAAAAAAAGCUAAGUUUGCAUCCCCUAGAUUGAUUAUAACCUUGACUUUUGCCUAAGUAUACUUUCUUCAACAUUACGACACGUUUCUAAUCCCACUUUUAUAUCUAUCUCAAGAGCAUAGGUAUCAGGGUUAGAGUGUUGAGAUCUGAUAUAUAUUUGGACCGCUUCCGGUUGUCGUCUCAAAUCAUUUAUCCUAUUUCCACAUUUGAGAACUCUUUCACAUUCUAAGAUUUCAUACUUCCUUUCAUGUCUUUGAGUUUUUGACAAAUACUUCCCUUAGGUUGUCGCAGUAAAAUCUUUAAGUUCGGUCAGAGGAUUGAGAAAUUUGAAGGGCUUUGAUUGCUUCCCAUAUUUCCCUUCCACUGUAACACACAAAAGUGAGUGGUCUGAAAACUAGGUAGUACCACUUCAAGUUGAGGCCAUGUAGUCAUCAAUAGUAGAUUUACUAAGGUCCUAUCAGUUUUGCUUAGAACAUGGCUGCUAGUCCAGGUAUAGAAUCUGCCAACGAAUUUCAUCUUAGUGACCCAUAUGCUCAAUAGGAAUUCUUCAAAAUCUUUGACUUCUGCAUCAGCCAAAUGACUACCAUUAUAUAUGUCUUCACCUUUCAACACAACAUCAAAGUCCCUCAUGAUUAGCAACGACUGCAUUUAGUCACUACCAUAGCCCUCUUCGAUCAUCAAUGGUGGGAAGAACCUAGUACUUGAAGAUUUCUGAGAACCUUCUUGACAUUGAAGGUGUCAGUGAUUAUUUCCUUAGGAUUUUCAAUCAAGUAGCUACUAUGAGUGAUAACUUUAGUAAGGUUUUAUUAUGAGAAGCCAAACUCCCUAUUCUUAGGUGGGCAAUGUAUGGAUGAUUAAUUUCACAAUUGGGUAUUGAUUUAUUGCUUAUUAAGUGUUAAUCUGAUCUGGAUUCAUCUGUCUCUUUAUGAUUUCAUCAAUAGGUUGCAAACUCUUGUUUACUUUAUAUCUUUAAUGUUACUUGUGAAAGAUCAUUGAAGUGAAAGGUGAUGAUUGAUAAUGACUUGAUUUAGUUCGUAUAACAGUUUAAGCUUAAAAUUAUUUAUCUAAAUUAAAGUGUUUGAUUGAUUUAAAUAGUUUACAUGUUGGGUUUGAUAAAAACCCACAUGAUUCAUCCAUUCAUGUGAGAUAGGCUCAAACUCUUCUUUGGCUUUUAUAUUGCAUACGAGUUGUUGAACGUUAUCACAAGUUUCUUUUUAUGGUUACUAGUUUAUUGAGGGUUUUAACUGUUUAAUUUGAGGUGAGAAUUGCAAGCUUAAUGAACCUAUACUUUUCAUCUGGCAGUGACAUGUGGGAAUUCAGAAAAUUAUAUAUGCAUCAUCAACAUAACCUCUCCCAAACUGCAAGUUUGAAUUGAACAUAAUUAUUGGUAAUUUCGAAAACGAAGUCUACAAAAUCUUACAAAGUUCCAAUGCUGGGAUGUGUGUAUUCUUCAUUUUGUGUUCAGUUUUUCACUAUACUGAACUAAGCUUACAUAAUUUUCAACAUCCUAUGGCAUAGUGAUAAGAAUAUCGAUUUUUCAGCUUUUAUCAAAGCUUUAGCUUUCUGUUAUCAUUUGUUUCUUCUUUCACUGCUUUUUGCAGAAUGUAGAAAUGAAGAUCAAGUCUGUAAUAUAGCUAAGCUAUUAAUUUUUUUGAUCUCAUUGAAUACUCCUUUAUCAAUUUGGAGAAUAAAGAAUCAUGUCUUCCCAAUAGCCCUGCUGGUGUGUCAUAUUCAGCUAUUC
RNAcentral lists this long non-coding RNA (2047 nucleotides) under Solanum lycopersicum (tomato). Its description in RNAcentral is "long non-coding RNA (SLYC_LNC000754)". Lineage: Eukaryota; Viridiplantae; Streptophyta; Magnoliopsida; Solanales; Solanaceae. The record is from RNAcentral.